UCUUUGAAGCAAUCAUAUGCCUUUUAUGCUGCAUUUGAUGGAAUUCCAGGGCUACAGGCAUCUGGAGCAUAUAUAUUUUCCAUCCAAAUGGUAAAUAUUCUAUUGGCUCUCAGAAGCAGAUUCGUGACGAUAGAGUUGAGUGGGAUCUUGAAGUGAAUCAACUUAUUGCAUGAAACUGUUAUCCUUUUGUAGUGGAAAUAAUGGCUAUUAUUACAAAUUUCCUCACAAUAGACAUUUAGACUAAAUAUUUUUGUGGUGUGAAUAAUGUUUCUUUGGUUUAUGGUAGUGGAAAUGUGGCUUCAGGAUA
Molecule: long non-coding RNA, 307 nt
Organism: Helianthus annuus (common sunflower)
Lineage: Eukaryota; Viridiplantae; Streptophyta; Magnoliopsida; Asterales; Asteraceae
Exons: 3
Source: RefSeq, a predicted model, not a curated record